Non-coding RNA from Aedes aegypti (yellow fever mosquito), 47 nucleotides. Lineage: Eukaryota; Metazoa; Arthropoda; Insecta; Diptera; Culicidae. The record is from Rfam.
AAAACGGCCCUUUUCAGGACCACCAAGUGUUGACUAAAGAGUUAUUU